UGUAGCAUGGCCGAGCGGUCUAAGGCUCCAGUCUCUUUGCAGGCAUGGGUUCAAAUCCCACUGCUGCCA
This 69-nucleotide transfer RNA is filed under the name Xenopus laevis (African clawed frog). It matches the Rfam family "tRNA". From Rfam's summary of the family: Transfer RNA (tRNA) molecules are approximately 80 nucleotides in length. Their secondary structure includes four short double-helical elements and three loops (D, anti-codon, and T loops). Further hydrogen bonds mediate the characteristic L-shaped molecular structure. tRNAs have two regions of fundamental functional importance: the anti-codon, which is responsible for specific mRNA codon recognition, and the 3' end, to which the tRNAs corresponding amino acid is attached (by aminoacyl-tRNA synthetases). tRNAs cope with the degeneracy of the genetic code in two manners: having more than one tRNA (with a specific anti-codon) for a particular amino acid; and 'wobble' base-pairing, i.e. permitting non-standard base-pairing at the 3rd anti-codon position. The record is from Rfam by way of RNAcentral. Lineage: Eukaryota; Metazoa; Chordata; Amphibia; Anura; Pipidae.